GAUCACCUUGUUUUACUAUAUGAUUUUUUGUCAAACAUAGCCAAGAUUGGGAGCAGCUUCUGAUCUUUAUAGACUCUGAGGUGAAUGGUUGAUUGAAUCUAAAAUUAAUGGGGAACAACAAUGUGUACUGGUAAAUUCUAUUGAACCAAAAAAAGUUGGAUUAUUGUUGAAUUCGAUAGAAACAUUUGAACUAGCACAACUCUUUGUCUUAAUUAAGGUCUAAUUAGAGCACUUCUGAUUGGAGAAAUGUUAUCCUCCUGCAACAAUUCCAACGCUUUGAGUACUGAUUGGAAAACUUUAAAUCUGCUUUUUUUGAUCUUCGAUUGACUUCAUGAUUCACGUGUCAAAGCUUUUAGAAUAUCGGACAGCCAUUUGUUGUUUGCUUUUGGGUUUCCGAUACACAAUCGGGGCAAAUGCAUUGCACAGAUAUGUGGGAGGUAAAACCACAGAAUUAGAACGUAACACCCAUUUUACUAGGCGGAUACAUGAGUCAAAAAAAGUUGAAGAAAUAUGUUACAACAACUAACCCAUCUUGCUGAGCGUCAUCUGGUGAACGAACAAUCCAUUGCACAAAACAUUAGCUUCUUUCAUAUAUAUAAAAACACACGAGCCAAAAGGAAAAAAAACAAUAGAUUAAUGUACGUCAUUCUUACAGUGAGUAAGUUAUUCUUCAUCUUCUUCUCAUUAUUUCCUGUCGUCUACGUAGGAGUGACAUUAUGAAGGAGAUGAUCAACCAUGCCUAGUUCCAUCACUAUACUCCAGUGGGAUUGAAUUCUCACACUCAAACAUGAACAGUAGUUGCAACAGAAACCCUAAUUCAGAGGCAGUUGGGGGGUGGGCACUGAUGGGUUUCGCCUGACAAACAGGUGGGCUUGGACCAGGGCCAGAGGUGGGGAACGUUG
RNAcentral lists this long non-coding RNA (902 nucleotides) under Physcomitrium patens. RNAcentral's name for it is "long non-coding RNA (PPAT_LNC000554)". The record is from RNAcentral. Lineage: Eukaryota; Viridiplantae; Streptophyta; Bryopsida; Funariales; Funariaceae.